UUAAUUUAUAUACUUAUAAUUAAUAAAAGUUUCUCGCCUCUUUUGUUGGGUCAUAGUAGAAUGGUUCGGCUGGAUUUUGCCACUUCUUAAAAUCUACUUUUUCUUGAUCCUCGCUCAAACGACUCGGUGGCAGUGGUUCCUCUACUUUCAUGUCAAGUGGUGGUGGUGGUGAUGACAAUACUAUGGGUGACAAUAGAGGGAUUAUGAGUUUCCGAUUCAUAUUGUGGUUAAUUUGCAAUGAAGGUGGAGCACGAUUUUGAAUCGUGCUCCACUGUUGUCGAUGGGUCUCAAAAUUGGAUUUUCUUUUUUUAGCAUUUUCCAUAUAUAUCAAUGACGGCAAAGAGAAAUGGUGAAAGUGAAAAGCAGAGAGUAAGGAAGAGUG
Molecule: long non-coding RNA, 382 nt
Filed under: Lupinus angustifolius (narrow-leaved blue lupine)
Lineage: Eukaryota; Viridiplantae; Streptophyta; Magnoliopsida; Fabales; Fabaceae
Description: long non-coding RNA (LANG_LNC001278)
Source: RNAcentral